AUAUCUUAGAAAUGGAUAUAUUUGGAUCUUGUUAAGAUGAAGAACAUAGUGAAAUGUGAUACUUGGUUCAAAUAGAAGAAUCCCAAGAAACUUUGAGUUUUCGAAUGCAAUUUGCACAUUAGGCCUUGACCAAGGGAACAUUUGUUUGGGUGUUA
This is a non-coding RNA of Picea glauca (white spruce), 155 nucleotides long. Lineage: Eukaryota; Viridiplantae; Streptophyta; Pinopsida; Pinales; Pinaceae. The record is from Rfam.